RNAcentral lists this ribosomal RNA (495 nucleotides) under uncultured bacterium. Its description in RNAcentral is "partial 16S ribosomal RNA". It matches the Rfam family "Bacterial small subunit ribosomal RNA", at positions 30 to 523 of the family's 1533-position model. The record is from RNAcentral.
AUUGAACGCUGGCGGAAUGCUUUACACAUGCAAGUCGAACGGUAGAGGGGGCAACCCCUCGAGAGUGGCGAACGGGUGAGUAAUAUAUCGGAACGUGACCAGUCGCGGGGGAUAACGUAGCGAAAGUUACGCUCAUACCGCAUACGAUCUAAGGAUGAAAGCGGGGUAUCGCAAGACCUCGCGCGAUUGGAGCGGCCGAUAUCAGAUUAGGUAGUUGGAGGGGUAAAGGCUCACCAAGCCAACGAUCUGUAGCUGGUCUGAGAGGACGACCAGCCACACUGGAACUGAGACACGGUCCAGACUCCUACGGGAGGCAGCAGUGGGGAAUUUUGGACAGUGGACGCAAGUCUGAUCCAGCCAUUCCGCGUGCAGGAUGAAGGCCCUCGGGUUGUAAACUGCUUUUGUACGGAACGAAAAGGUCUCUCUUAAUACGGGGGCUCAUGACGUUACCGUAAGAAUAAGCACCGGCUAACUACGUGCCAGCAGCCGCAGUAA